This 78-nucleotide small RNA is filed under the name Flavobacterium sp. 1. RNAcentral describes it as "Flavo-1 RNA". It matches the Rfam family "Flavo-1 RNA". Lineage: Bacteria; Pseudomonadati; Bacteroidota; Flavobacteriia; Flavobacteriales; Flavobacteriaceae. The record is from RNAcentral.
UUUUAGCCCCGAUAGCAGUGAAAAUCCUUAUGUGCUAGGGUUCGGCACAUAAGAUUGCAACGGAUAGCGGGAAAUAGC